UCUCUGUGACUGAAAAUAAAGUACUUGAAGAGUACAUCACAGAGAACUUAAAAAAGGGUUUUAUUACUAAGUCUUCCUCCCCGGCUGGGGCCAUUUUUUCCUUUGUUUCUAAAAAGGAGGGAGACUUGAUACCUUGUAUUGACUAUCGGGGUUUAAACAAAAUAACCAUACAAAACGCUUAUCCUAUACCUCUAAUAACCGAGCUUUUCGACAGAUUGAAGGGAGCAACCAUAUUCACUAAGUUGGAUUUACGGAGAGCAUACAAUUUAGUUAGAAUCAAGAAUGGACAUGAGUGGAAGACUG
Pelobates cultripes (western spadefoot toad) is the source of this 303-nucleotide non-coding RNA. NCBI's taxonomy places the organism in Eukaryota, Metazoa, Chordata, Amphibia, Anura, Pelobatidae. The record is from the annotation of a GenBank genome assembly.